Molecule: long non-coding RNA, 1561 nt
Organism: Coffea eugenioides
Lineage: Eukaryota; Viridiplantae; Streptophyta; Magnoliopsida; Gentianales; Rubiaceae
Exons: 4
Source: RefSeq, a predicted model, not a curated record
CUCCGCUGGGAGAAGUGGGAUUCUUGCUUUUGUCCGAGAAAGGAGGAAGGACCUUCGGUUUUGAGAAGAAACCAUUUCUCUGUUUCUGUGGGAACGACAGAUGAGGUGGGCUCGAGAUACCUACUCCCAUCAAGUGUCUCCCAUCUCCCAUCAAGUGUUUCUCUCUCAUCGCUGCUUUCUCCUCUCAUACCCAAACCACCGGAUCACUAUGGUUACUGUACCCCUUGUUGAUGAUCUUCUCCUCUCCGUUAUUCCCUGUUUCUCGGUAAAAAAAUUAUCCCGAUACAGCCUUUUGUUUCUCUCUUUUUUUUCCAAGUACUUACUGAUCUGUUCCAAAACUUUUCUUUUGGGACCACUACGGCUGCUGUACUCCUCUUCCAUGAUCUUCUCCUCUCCGUUGUUCUCUAUUUCUCUGAAAUUUUUGGUGCUUUUGUUGUGCUACAUUCUCCUUCACUGAGUUAUUACAAAGAUGGAUGGUGAUUGUUUUUGGAAAAGAGUGUAGCUUUCUGGCUGGAGAAUCACGGCAGAUGAAAGUUGUUAAAUAGGCUAAUUUAUUUUGUUCUCAGUUAGGCUAUGAUGAUAUGGUUUUGGUUUCAUUAGAUGUAUUUCAGGCUUUAAAUUGAUUGCUGUAUCUUGGCGAGGCAACCCUGAUUGCAUUUGAGGUUCAUUCUUCCCUUCAAAUGCAAUGGGUCUGCAGUCAUGGCGGUACUCUCAUCUCUGCCUGACUUUUGCUGACAAACCUGAGCCUUAAUUUAAACUACCAUAAUUACUGCUUAAUUUAAUUAAAAAGAUUUGAUCACUGAUUCCUUUUUUUCCCUUUGUAUAAUAAUUUUCGAACCUUGACAAUUUCUGAUGGUUCUUAUUGGUUGUUUUCACCUUUGAAGCAAUAUCUACAGAGCUAUACCAAAAAUUGUCAGAUGGGAUUAGUGCCAUUGGAGAAAUAGAUGACGAUUUCAUUUGUGCCACUUUGGAUUGGUGGCCACCUGAGAAAUGUGACUAUGGAACCUGUAGCUGGGACCAUGCUUCCCUUCUCAAUCUGGUACUUUCCAUUUUCUUGCAUUUGCAGCUAUUUCGUGUUUCAUGUUUAUGUCUUUGCGUGUGUGUGUGCGCCUUUUUUAAUGUUACCUGCAACCAUACUACGUUGGUAUGCUGAAGUUGAUGGAUUUAGUCCACCUAAACCAAUGUCGUCUUUUAUAACAAGGGGAUGAUGGCUUGUUUGAGCUGUAUAUUUCAGCUUCAAAUUCAUUUCCAGUUAAAAAGAUGCGAUUUUUAUGCUUUAGACGGUGUGUUAGAAAAGUUUUUUGAUGGCUGCGAAUUCCACUCUGAUGCUUUCAGCAAUGAGGUUGUAAAAGGGGAAGGAGACAAUACUUGUCGCUUAUCAUUUAUGCUCUGUUUUGUUUGCCUUCUUUGAUUAAAGUCCAAAAGAUCUUGAUUGUGUUUUGAGAGAGAUGUUAACGAAUUUCAAAUUGUCCAAAAUGAUUCUGGGCUAUUAUAUGCCGUGGCCAAUUUGAAUUGAAAGAUUAGUGUUUAAUGGACUGGUUUGAUCUGUUUCUUGUUUUAU